Long non-coding RNA from Sander lucioperca (pikeperch), 603 nucleotides. RefSeq lists it as uncharacterized. The transcript has 4 exons. Lineage: Eukaryota; Metazoa; Chordata; Actinopteri; Perciformes; Percidae. The record is from RefSeq and is a predicted model, not a curated record.
GUGGACAGGAAAUCACCAGGAGAAUUUUAACUUUUCAGGAAAGCUGAUGAAAGAAUGUGAGAAAACCCAAUUACCUUCCAGCCACUAGUUGCUGCACUUCAUCACAAGCAAUGACUAAAAUUAUGCGCCAUAUUGGACACGGUUGUCACAUUACUUAGUUUAACGGGAACGGACUUCACCUGCACCGCGUUAAGUGAGACGUUUUUGGCUACAUAGACUUACGGCUGAAAUGGACGUAAAUGCUCUCGAAUUGUUGAGGAGUUAACUACAUUACCUCCGCCAGCCUCUGUGGGCCUCUCAGGACUGGGUUAACUCGCACCAUAAAGGCACCCUGUGAACUCCCGACCUGUCGGUUCCACUGUACAACACCAUGGCCCCGGGACAGACAAGCUAGAGUGGAGAGACACAGGUGGACUAGCCCACACUCCCAGUAGGACGGCUCACGUGGUGCCUCCAUUUUGGUGUGAUGGUCGGCGAUUUCUAUCUACAGGAUUGCGAAGAGCUGCAUGGUGAGACAGGUGAGAAAGUGGCAGCAACCUUGGACCCCCCCAUACUGGCCUCUGACCCCUUCGACUUUGACUGGCAGCUCGUCGUACUUCUACA